Budorcas taxicolor (takin) is the source of this 73-nucleotide non-coding RNA. The record is from the annotation of a RefSeq genome assembly. Lineage: Eukaryota; Metazoa; Chordata; Mammalia; Artiodactyla; Bovidae.
UCCCUGGUUGUCCAGUGGCUAAGACUCUGCACUCCUGAUGCAGGGGUCCCAGGUUUAAUCCCUGGUCGGGGAA